CCCGCACAAGCGGUGGAGUAUGUGGUUUAAUUCGAUGCAACGCGAAGAACCUUACCUGGUCUUGACAUCCCGGAGACCCUUAGGAAACUAGGGGGUGCUUCCAUCUGGAAGAAUCUGGAGACAGGUGCUGCAUGGCUGUCGUCAGCUCGUGUCGUGAGAUGUUGGGUUAAGUCCCGCAACGAGCGCAACCCUUGCCUUUAGUUGCCAGCAGUUCGGCUGGGCACUCUAAAGGGACUGCCGGUGUUAAACCGGAGGAAGGUGGGGAUGACGUCAAGUCCUCAUGGCCUUUAUGACCAGGGCUACACACGUACUACAAUGGCCGAUACAAAGGGCAGCGACACUGCGAGGUGAAGCCAAUCCCGUAAAAUCGGUCUCAGUCCGGAUUGGAGUCUGCAACUCGACUCCAUGAAGUUGGAAUCGCUAGUAAUCGUGGAUCAGCAUGCCGGGGUGAAUACGUUCCCGGGCCUU
Molecule: ribosomal RNA, 468 nt
Filed under: uncultured Desulfobulbus sp.
Lineage: Bacteria; Pseudomonadati; Thermodesulfobacteriota; Desulfobulbia; Desulfobulbales; Desulfobulbaceae
Description: bacterial SSU rRNA
Rfam family: Bacterial small subunit ribosomal RNA
Source: RNAcentral